RNAcentral lists this ribosomal RNA (253 nucleotides) under uncultured bacterium. RNAcentral's name for it is "partial 16S ribosomal RNA". It matches the Rfam family "Bacterial small subunit ribosomal RNA", at positions 524 to 776 of the family's 1533-position model. The record is from RNAcentral.
UACGUAGGGUGCAAGCGUUGUCCGGAAUUAUUGGGCGUAAAGAGCUCGUAGGUGGCCUGUCGCGUCGGCUGUGAAAACUCGGGGCUCAACUCCGAGCUUGCAGUCGAUACGGGCAGGCUAGAGUUCGGCAGGGGAGACUGGAAUUCCUGGUGUAGCGGUGAAAUGCGCAGAUAUCGGGAAGAACACCCGUGGCGAAGGCGGCUCUCUGGGACGGUACUGACGCUGAGACGCGAAAGCGUGGGGAGCGAACAGG